GACCGCACAGUGGCUCAAGUGGUUUGAGCGUUAGGCUCGGAUGCAGGAGGUCGCCGGUUCGAACCCCGUCCGAGUCG
This is a non-coding RNA of Potamilus streckersoni, 77 nucleotides long. Lineage: Eukaryota; Metazoa; Mollusca; Bivalvia; Unionida; Unionidae. The record is from the annotation of a GenBank genome assembly.